Oryza sativa Japonica Group (Japanese rice) is the source of this 206-nucleotide microRNA precursor. It matches the Rfam family "MIR812 microRNA precursor family". Lineage: Eukaryota; Viridiplantae; Streptophyta; Magnoliopsida; Poales; Poaceae. The record is from Rfam.
UUUAAGUACAACCAUAAAUUUCUGUGUCCAACUUUGAUCGUCCAUCUUAUUUGAAUUUUUUUUAUAAUUAUUAUUUUUGUUGUUAUGAGAUGAUAAAACAUGAACAAUACUUUACUCGUGACUUAUGUUUUUCAAUUUUUUGAAAAUUUUUUUCAAAUAAGAUGGACAAUUAAAGUUGGGCACGAAAAAUCAUGGUUGCACUUAAA